This 85-nucleotide transfer RNA is filed under the name Pseudomonas sp. RNAcentral describes it as "tRNA-Leu". It matches the Rfam family "tRNA". From Rfam's summary of the family: Transfer RNA (tRNA) molecules are approximately 80 nucleotides in length. Their secondary structure includes four short double-helical elements and three loops (D, anti-codon, and T loops). Lineage: Bacteria; Pseudomonadati; Pseudomonadota; Gammaproteobacteria; Pseudomonadales; Pseudomonadaceae. RNAcentral also lists the same sequence under 5 other names. The record is from RNAcentral.
GCGGACGUGGUGGAAUUGGUAGACACACCAGAUUUAGGUUCUGGCGCCGCAAGGUGUGAGAGUUCGAGUCUCUCUGUCCGCACCA